AGGAGUGGGAGGUUGCAGCACCUGCCUACUGCCCAUUUUUGGUCCCAGGAGGCUUCAGGGAGGCCUGAUAUGCCCAAACAGGGUGCAGGGAGGUCACGAAUGCAUGUGCAGGAGUUGUGCAUGCAUGCGCAGGGGGACAGGGUGUGCAGGGGGCUGUCACAUGCACAUUGAAUUAAGGGUGUGAGCAUACACAUGCUUUUGGCAUGCGAGGACAAAAGGUUAGUCCUCACUUGCCUAGGUCUUAAUAAGCUUAGAAGAGCAAAACUCUUGUUUAUGUUCAGCUUAUCCUCAGCCUCCCUCCAGAAUUCUCUAUUCCUGUUCUAAUGGACUUCGGCAUCUGACACUGGUCCCUUACAGAUGUUGCAACCAUCAUAAGUCUGAGCAGAGUGACGUAGCAGGAAACAACGUGCAUAUGCAUGGCUGGAGCAUGGAACAGGGCAAUGGUGCGAUGCGUUCAAGAAGUAGCAUGGCUCCAGUAAUUUUCACUGCAAGAAGCCUGAGCAGCCACUGUCUCUUUUUGGCGCAAGAAGCAUCCAGCCGCACCGAAAAAAAGAGGAGGCAGUUGCAAACAUCUCAUAACAAGGAAGGCAAGACCAACAGCGAUGUGCACCAGCAUUACUGGAUGAGCUGAGACUGAUAUACAGUAAAUGUACAUUUUUAUACCA
Long non-coding RNA from Thamnophis elegans (Western terrestrial garter snake), 665 nucleotides. RefSeq lists it as uncharacterized. Lineage: Eukaryota; Metazoa; Chordata; Lepidosauria; Squamata; Natricidae. The record is from RefSeq and is a predicted model, not a curated record. The transcript has 3 exons.